AACGAACGCUGGCGGCAUGCCUAACACAUGCAAGUCGAACGAGACCUUCGGGUCUAGUGGCACACGGGUGCGUAACGCGUGGGAACCUGCCCUUAGGUUCGGAAUAACUCCCCGAAAGGGGUGCUAAUACCGGAUAAUGUCUUCGGACCAAAGAUUUAUCGCCCUUGGAUGGGCCCGCGUUGGAUUAGCUAGUUGGUAGGGUAAAAGCCUACCAAGGCGACGAUCCAUAGCUGGUCUGAGAGGAUGAUCAGCCACACUGGGACUGAGACACGGCCCAGACUCCUACGGGAGGCAGCAGUGGGGAAUAUUGGACAAUGGGCGAAAGCCUGAUCCAGCAAUGCCGCGUGAGCGAUGAAGGCCUUAGGGUUGUAAAGCUCUUUUACCCGGGAUGAUAAUGACAGUACCGGGAGAAUAAGCUCCGGCUAACUCCGUG
This 433-nucleotide ribosomal RNA is filed under the name uncultured bacterium. RNAcentral's name for it is "partial 16S ribosomal RNA". It matches the Rfam family "Bacterial small subunit ribosomal RNA", at positions 29 to 507 of the family's 1533-position model. The record is from RNAcentral.